RNAcentral lists this ribosomal RNA (492 nucleotides) under uncultured bacterium. Its description in RNAcentral is "partial 16S ribosomal RNA". It matches the Rfam family "Bacterial small subunit ribosomal RNA", at positions 29 to 507 of the family's 1533-position model. The record is from RNAcentral.
AGUGAACGCUGGCGGUAGGCCUAACACAUGCCAGUCGAACGGCAGCACAGUAAGAGCUUGCUCUUACGGGUGGCGAGUGGCGGACGGGUGAGGAAUACAUCGGAAUCUACUUUUUCGUGGGGGAUAACGUAGGGAAACUUACGCUAAUACCGCAUACGACCUACGGGUGAAAGCAGGGGAUCUUCGGACCUUGCGCGAUUGAAUGAGCCGAUGUCGGAUUAGCUAGUUGGCGGGGUAAAGGCCCACCAAGGCGACGAUCCGUAGCUGGUCUGAGAGGAUGAUCAGCCACACUGGAACUGAGACACGGUCCAGACUCCUACGGGAGGCAGCAGUGGGGAAUAUUGGACAUUGGGCGCAAGCCUGAUCCAGCCAUACCGCGUGAGUGAAGAAGGCCUUCGGGUUGUAAAGCCCUUUUGUUGGGAAAGAAAAGCAGCAGGUUAAUACCCGGCUGUUCUGACGGUACCCAAAGAAUAAGCACCGGCUAACUUCGUG